Molecule: long non-coding RNA, 2505 nt
Filed under: Helianthus annuus (common sunflower)
Lineage: Eukaryota; Viridiplantae; Streptophyta; Magnoliopsida; Asterales; Asteraceae
Description: sRNA HanXRQr2_Chr09g0361811
Source: RNAcentral
UGAAACCCUUCUCCCCCAUAACCAAGAUCUUCUACCUUCUCCACCGCCGGUUCACUUCCACAGCCGCACCUCCUUCGCACUCCGAACGACCGCCGGCUGCCACCUGCACCGGAAUCACUUCCCCUGUCGACCUUCUCCGUCAUCUCCGCCUUGAUACCUCAACCCUACUCCGCUGACCCGCUACUCGACGCGGUCGCUCACCUCCACUUCAUCAAUCGUCGACCACCGCCACUUCUCCUCCAUCUCACGCCGCCCUCUGGAACCACGAGUCACCAAGCCCCACUACCGACCAUCGUUUUCAACCGCCGGCUGCCACCUGAACCGGCAACCCACCACAGUCGAACGACCGCCGGUCUACGUCUUCAGCCGUCGGACUCGUCUCCGAUGUUCACCGACACCCCCUUCUACGACUCUGCCCGCAUAUAUGGUUUUGAAUACUCUCUGCAUUGUUAAAGAGAAAAGGGUAGCCCAACUGUCUCAAGAUCACCACUGUCCAAGCGUUCGCAUAAAACAUCUUCGACCCGAUCCUCUGCCGCCUUUGUAGAUGCCUUCCACAUAUUUUUCCGAGCCUCGAGGACGAUGCUAUAUCUUAAGCUUGGGGAGGUUGAGAUUUGAGGUAAUUUCUAUGUUCUCAUUUUAGCUUGCAUUACCUAGUUAGUUUGUAAAUAGCUGCAUUCUUCAUGUUCGUUGCAUUUAGGGUGUAUAUACAUGCAUAAAAAAAAUUCUUAAAAAAAAAUUAAAAAUAAAAAAAAACCGUUUCUGUUCCGCUGAAAAUGAUUUGUGAAAAAUGAGAGAUGAUAUAAAAUUUCUGGCAUGUCGAAGCUUAUGCGUGAAAUGGUAACUUUGGGGAAGAAAACAUAGAUAAUUCGGGAUGUGUUGAUAGGCUCGGCCCUAACUUAGGAACACCAAUGUUGGAUGCAAUAACCUUAAUUAUAUAUAUGUGUUUAGUUUCCCAUCUUGAUGCUUGUGGUCAAAGAUUGAUCCCGACCAAAAAUCGGUUAAGUUGCAUAUCCUCUAUCACACACCAUGUUCUCCAUAUCAUGACACCUCCGUAAUAAAGAGGUGAAAAAUUGACCUCAAAUUGGUGAAAAAUUGACCUCAUAGGUUAUUAUAGUUUAAAACAAAAAAAAAAAAAAAAAAACAAAAAGAAAAAAAAAGAGAAAAAAGAAGGGGUAAAAGAGCACAAUGUUUGCCAAAAAUUUGAAAAAAAAAAUCGAAAUCGAAAUAAAAAAAUAUUUGAGCAAAUUAGGGAGAAAAGUCCCGACCCCUUGAAAAACGGAAAAAAAAAGAUAAUAACUAUCGUGUCAUGGUCUGGAUGCAUGGUCGCAUCAAGUGUGAUUUUGGAUAUCUUCAAAAAGUCGUGAGGUUGGGUAGAUGUUGCCAUAGGUGUUGGGCGUGGGGACGAUUGAACCAUGUUGGUAAAUUUGUAUAUUAUUAAGCAGAAAGCAUUUGGUUGUGAUUAAGCGGGUUUGAGUUUAAAGGGAUACAAAAUAUCAACAAUCGCGGUUACACGUUUAAGUAUUUCCCGGGUUCGAAUGAAUGUAAUAGGAGUUGAUAUUGUUAGAUAUGAUCUCAUUACAAGUUUAUUUUCCGGAAUAAAAGAAGCGGGUUGAAAAAAAAAUAGUAAGCAUGCAUAUGUGUAUUGUUUUUCGUGUUUAUUUCUCGGAUUAUUCUUAUUCUUGACUUCCUUGAGGACAAGGAAAGGUUUAAGCUUGGGGAGAUUUGUUAGUUGCAUUUUUAGGCACGUUUUAUUGCAUAAUAAUAUUAAUAUUUCACCACAUAUCAUGCAUAUUUCAUAGUCAUACCUCCUUAUUUUGCGAAAUACGCGUUUUUGUGGAACGGAAUCUACUUUGGACAUUUUAAUGAUUUUGUAGAUGUGGAGCAAUCGCCAUAUAUCACAAUGGGCGUGGAAAAGCUUAAGAGGUAUUCAUAAUAAAACAAGAAGAGCAAAGCAGCCGUUGAUGCGAUCCAAUUUAUGUUCAAGCUCAGUCAAAAGGAACAAUGAGGUUAAAAGUUGGUAACUUAGUGGAAGGUGUAAGUUUAAAGCUCAAGAAAAUAAAGAUCUAAAUAGAAUCUACAAGGAGCUCGAAACCAGCAGCAUCCAACAAAAAUUGAAGUUAUGAAAGUGGGCUUUAGUUAAUGAAUUUUAGUUGGACUAAAAUUUGGAAAUGGAAAUUAAAGAAAUUGUUGGGCUGAUGAUGAGAAUGAGAAGCUGGCCUUAAUUAAAUUAGAGAUGAACCACAAUAAAGAAAAAUAAAGGCCCAUGAGAAGUAGGGAAUUGUUGGCUGGGAAUAAAAAAAAGGAUCACGAACAAUCUAAAAAAAACCCAUCUUUGACGGCUGCAAAUUCGAGUGGAGUUCGAAAGAAGCAACAAAUCAGAUUUUGGGAAGUGAUUUUGGUUUGUUAGUUUAUGCUUUGUUUUGUAUUUGACUUGAUUGUUUUAGCCACCAUGUCCGGCUAGACGUUUAUAGUUUCGACAUCGGGGCGUGUUUUCUUUGAUUUGGU